This is a long non-coding RNA of Triplophysa dalaica, 1093 nucleotides long. RefSeq lists it as uncharacterized. The record is from RefSeq and is a predicted model, not a curated record. The transcript is spliced from 3 exons. Lineage: Eukaryota; Metazoa; Chordata; Actinopteri; Cypriniformes; Nemacheilidae.
CACAAUUUCACUUGCAGUUACACUUGUCACGGAGAAUUGUUGCGUUGUUACAAUUAUGUGAAUACUCAUGUGUACGGGUGAAACAAUACCCUCAGUUCAGGAUUUGGUACAUAUCUCGAUAUUUUUUACAAAAUUAAAAAUGAAGCUGAAAUUCACAAAACAUUUAUUAUCAAACAAUUAACAAUUCAGUUACUUUUUUGUUGCAUAUACAACUUAAUAAAGUAUUUUAAAUAUUGUUCUGUCUGACCAACAGUUUCAACACUCUUUUAAUACUGUUUUGAAAAUCUCAGUUAUUGAUAUUCAUCUUUGGAUGAACAUGUGUGUCAUUUAUCUACUUUGAUAUGUUCUCAGCAGGUUUUGCACAACAUCAGACAGUGGCUGGACUAAAGACUUGGACAAAACCCCCUGCCCCACCUACACCAGAUCCUGCGGCUUAGCAUUUACCUGCUCCCUAUCCUAACCCUCGGCCCUGUAUCCUGGGCAAAAAGCACUGCCGCAAACGACCGAGACCUUCAUCUGACAGCUGAAGAGCCGGGAUGAAGCCAGGAGACACCAAAUGGCCAAAACCAAGAAGCAGCAAAAUAAAUGAAAUGCUCUUAUCGACAGAAAACGAAGUACUUGCUUCUAAAUUCCGUCUAACGCCAGCACUGAUCGUGGGAAAAACGCAUAGCAACAGCUCUGAGUGAAAUAAAAACGUCAACCUGUAGCUUUAUUUUAAAAUGCAGCGCAACCGUUGAAAACAUUUGAAAAAACACGCCCGCCCCAGGCGAAAACGCCUCGAUGGACACGCGGUUUAAGGAAUUGUAUAAUAUAAAAAAAACUGAAAAUGAACUCUCAUAGGCCAAAUACAGAUGGGAAGGUGGGAUCUUGUGCUCAGUGCUAGCUUGAUAUAUUGUUAGCCUCUCUAAAAUCACCUAUUCAUGUUCAUUUAAUGUGUCAACACAAAUAAUGCACUUUUACUUCUUAUCGCUGUAUCUUGUCAUUUGCAGUCAGUCAUGCGCAUGCCUGCACUUGAUUCACAAACCAUGAACGAGAUGUGCAGGAUUCUGACAGACUGUCCGGCAAAGAAUCCGUCAUCACAAUCACAUCAUCA